RNAcentral lists this long non-coding RNA (770 nucleotides) under Homo sapiens (human). Its description in RNAcentral is "HSALNT0354353". The record is from RNAcentral. Lineage: Eukaryota; Metazoa; Chordata; Mammalia; Primates; Hominidae.
UGGAAACCAUCCUCAACUUCUUCAGCCAGAGUUGGCACCCCCAGGAGAAAAUACACACAACUAGGUCAGGCAGAAUGUCCGCUUCUAUAUCAUCAGGAUUCAGCCAAUAAUUCUGGAGCCCCUACUGGCUGACUAAUACUAGGCCCUUUGGGAAUUGCAAAGAUGAAUAAGGUAACUCCUCUGUCUCAAGAAGCUUUCAAGAGAUUGGGCAAGUGAUGAUCAGCAAGCUAGUCUGAGAGAAGAGAGAGUAUCUAGAACAAGAUAUACCCAUGAGCCAAUAGGAGACUCUACCUGUGCAUUGCCUUUGGAAGGGAACUUCUGGGGUCUCUUUACAGAGGAAGUGUUGGGUCAGAUACUUGUGCAUUAGGAAGAAGAGCAAAAAAAAUGGCACUCACAUCUGGAGAUUUUGUCCAAAUCCAUCCCAAAGCUUCACCACUAAUAAAGGCAAAAUAAACUUCACCACUAAUAAAGGCAAAACAGAAAAUGUUUGACUCAACUUAUUUUUUUUUUUUUGAGACGGAGUCUUUCUCUGUCACCAGGCUGGAGUGCAGUGGUGCGAUCUCAGCUCACUGCAACCUCCACCUCCCAGGUUCAAGCAAUUCCUCUGCCUCUGUCUCCCAAGUAGCUGGGACUACAGGCAUGUGCCACCACGCCCGGCUAAUUUUUUGUAUUUUAGUAGAGACGGGGUUUCACCAUGUUGGCCAGGAUUGUCUCAAUCUUCUGACCUCGUGAUCCGCCUGCCUCGACCUCCAAAAGUGCUGGGAUUACAG